This 484-nucleotide ribosomal RNA is filed under the name uncultured bacterium. RNAcentral describes it as "partial 16S ribosomal RNA". It matches the Rfam family "Bacterial small subunit ribosomal RNA", at positions 28 to 507 of the family's 1533-position model. The record is from RNAcentral.
AUUGAACGCUGGCGGCAUGCUUUACACAUGCAAGUCGAACGGCAGCGCGGGCUUCGGCCUGGCGGCGAGUGGCGAACGGGUGAGUAAUGCAUCGGAACGUGCCCAGUAGUGGGGGAUAGCCCGGCGAAAGCCGGAUUAAUACCGCAUACGACCUGAGGGUGAAAGCGGGGGACCGAAAGGCCUCGCGCUAUUGGAGCGGCCGAUGUCGGAUUAGCUAGUUGGUGGGGUAAAGGCUUACCAAGGCGACGAUCCGUAGCUGGUCUGAGAGGACGACCAGCCACACUGUGACUGAGACACGGCCCAGACUCCUACGGGAGGCAGCAGUGGGGAAUUUUGGACAAUGGGGGCAACCCUGAUCCAGCCAUGCCGCGUGCGGGAAGAAGGCCUUCGGGUUGUAAACCGCUUUUGUUCGGGAAGAAAUCCUCUGGGCUAAUACCCCGGGGGGAUGACGGUACCGGAAGAAUAAGCACCGGCUAACUACGUG